Long non-coding RNA from Amphiprion ocellaris (clown anemonefish), 526 nucleotides. Lineage: Eukaryota; Metazoa; Chordata; Actinopteri; Pomacentridae. The record is from Ensembl.
CUUUUAAUGGACUUAAACGAUCUUCUGUUGACAUCUUGGUGCCUGAAACCAAAGGAAACCUCAAGAAACCUUCAGAGAUGCUGUUUUGGAGGCGCCAUGGGAACCUCUACAUUAUUAAGAUCUCAGUCCAGUCGAGCAUCCUUACUGGAAAAAACAAGUUGCAAAGGUCUUCUGCUGACAUCUUGGUGCCUGAAACCAAAGGAAACUUCAAGAAUCCUUCAGAUCCUCUACAUUCUUUGGUAGAUCAACUCAGAUGUCUCUCAGUGCGCUGCGAGGUUUCCCAGUGAGAGACAGCAUGUCACAAGGCUAUGACUGCUAAUUCUUCAACCCAUGAUGGCUUCGGCAUCACAGAUGGGAAGGCUGCUGGCAGGAGGAGGGAAAAAAAAGCCAAGGAUGUCUGCUGGUGUGUCGUUAGCCCUCGGCUGGUUCUGGGCAGGUGAUGCAAAUUUGGUUGGUUGUCGCCAAACACAGCUGUCUGCUGCAAAGGAUACGAUAACAACCGUGAGCAUCUGAAUUCUGGCGGGGA